This 335-nucleotide ribosomal RNA is filed under the name uncultured bacterium. Its description in RNAcentral is "bacterial SSU rRNA". It matches the Rfam family "Bacterial small subunit ribosomal RNA", at positions 335 to 661 of the family's 1533-position model. The record is from RNAcentral.
ACUCCUACGGGAGGCAGCAGUGGGGAAUAUUGCACAAUGGGGAAACCCGUAGCAUGCAGCCAUGCCGCGUGUGUGAAGAAGGCCUUCGGGUUGUAAAGCACUUUCAGUAGGGAGGAAGGUAGUGUAGUUAACACCUGCAUAUUGAUCGUAUCCUACAGAAGAAGCACCGGCUAACUCCGUGCCAGCAGCCGCGGUAAUACGGAGGGUGCGAGCGUUAAUCGGAAUUACUGGGCGUAAAGCGCAUGCAGGCGGCCUGUUAAGUCAGAUGUGAAAGCCCGGGGCUUAACCUCGGAAUUGCAUUUGAAACUGGCAGGCUAGAGUCUUGUAGAGGGGUG